UUCAGAUAAUUCUAAAAAAAAAAAGAAAUUCAAAUAUUAGUCUAAUUAGGUCAAGCAACUUCAGAAUCUUAUCCGCACUCCGCCGUCUUCUUGAAGAGCUUCAGCUUCCUCACCUCAGUCCCUAUUCCCUAAUCCCAAUUCCUCACCUCAAUCCCUAAUCCCAAUUCCAAAUCAAACCUAUUUGGGUUGCUAACUCCAGCCAUUUCUUUUGUCUAUUGUCAUCAUCCACCGAUUGGAAGUGGAUUGUGCUGCCGUGCAGCUAGCGGAAGGUGGAUCUUGGAAGCAGGUGCAGGCGUGCCGCGUGCAGAAGGUAAACGGAAGGAUUUAUAAUUGGAGAUUUGCACGAAUAAUUAAUCGCAGCUGGAGAAUGAGAAAAGAUACAGAGAGGACAGAUUUCCCUUGUUAUCAUCCAUCACUGAUAAUUGUCUUGCAAGUUUCGAACGGCAAAAAAUUCCGACCAAACAGUGACAUACGGUACCAACUGCUUACACCUAAAGGCCGAGAUAUAAGAGAAGGAUGUAACAACAGAAAGAAGGUACGUCCACAUAUCUUUUGUCGGUAAAAUGUAAAAACCUUCUCUCGUCUAUUUCUACAGGUUGUCCACCUUGCUAUCUCAAAGAAAUAUCAGCUUCAGUUAAGAUCAACAUAAGGUUGCAGAUAUCAACCUCUGCUUUAGCAUUACAUCAGCCUGCUGGAACUGUUUCAUUGAAACUUAAAAGCCUUUCUUAUUGAGGAAAAAAUCAUAGGUACUAGCUAAAAAUACUGACUAGCGCAACAAGUCAACUAGCUCCCUCAUUGCUUCCUAAUCCAAGCAGCAAGGAUGAAGUAUACUGGACUACACAUGCCUCUGAUUGGUUUGCCACUAAUUCAGCCAUGGCAGUGACUAGAACCAAGGGGGACAAGGUGGCUUGGUUUAAACUUGUGCGAGGACAAGGUGCAUUUCCACGUUACUCUUUUAUGGUUUGGCUAUUAUGCAAAAGGAAGCUGUCCAGAAAAGACAGACUUACGGCUUGGGGAAUUCCUACGGCUUAUGACCUCUGUGAGCUUUGUAAAGGAGAAGUUGAAACCAUGGACCAUAUAAUUUUUUAUUGCCCAGUAUCAAGCAUAGUAUGGCAAAAGGUGUAAAAUUUUCCCAGUUGAAAAUGGUUGUGUGAUCAUUGUAGCUCAAACUCUUUUACGGACCAGGUGAGGAGACUUGUGCUUUUGGAGUUUGCUAGCGUAGUGUAUCAAUUGUGGUGAGCAAGAAACCAAGCUAUUUUUCAGCAAGUUUCGGUAUUUGCUGUUAGCAUGAUUGUCUGCUGUCCUUGAUUCUAUGAAAGAUAUAGUUGGGAGCUGGAGACGCAUGCCUUUAACUACGCAAAACUGGGGCUUGGCUGUCCAGCUGGGGCUACCUAAUGUGUGUUUCAAUCGAUAAGUAUUCUGGUUAACUGAUGAAUGUGGCAUCAUUUUGUGUAAUAGUUAUAGUGCUAGCUGCUUACAUAGUUGGAAUGAGUACAUUCCUUUGCGUACACGUUCAUUGCUGAUCAAUAAAGAUUCAGCGUUGCUCAAAAAAAAAAAAAAAAUGCUGACCAUAUUUCU
Molecule: long non-coding RNA, 1578 nt
Organism: Coffea arabica (coffee)
Lineage: Eukaryota; Viridiplantae; Streptophyta; Magnoliopsida; Gentianales; Rubiaceae
Source: RefSeq, a predicted model, not a curated record